This 925-nucleotide ribosomal RNA is filed under the name Austroboletus niveus. Its description in RNAcentral is "partial large subunit ribosomal RNA". It matches the Rfam family "Eukaryotic large subunit ribosomal RNA", at positions 37 to 956 of the family's 3401-position model. Lineage: Eukaryota; Fungi; Basidiomycota; Agaricomycetes; Boletales; Boletaceae. The record is from RNAcentral.
AGCAUAUCAAUAAGCGGAGGAAAAGAAACUAACAAGGAUUCCCCUAGUAACUGCGAGUGAACCGGGAAAAGCUCAAAUUUUGAAUCUGGCAGUCUCAACCCUGUCCGAGUUGUAAUCUAGAGAAGCGUCUUCCGCGCUGGACCGUGUACAAGUCUCCUGGAAGGGAGCCUCAUAGAGGGUGACAAUCCCGUCUUUGACACGGACUACCAGGGCUUUAUGUGUCGCGCUCUCAACGAGUCGAGUUGUUUGGGAAUGCAGCUCAAAAUGGGUGGUAAAUUCCAUCUAAAGCUAAAUACAGGCGAGAAACCGAUAGCGAACAAGUACCGUGAGGGAAAGAUGAAAAGAACUUUGGAAAGAGAGUUAAACAGUACGUGAAAUUGCUGAAAGGGAAACGUUUGAUGUCAGUCACGUUGCUUGGGGAUCAACCUUGCUUCAUUGCCAGGUGUAUUUCUUAUUCAACGGGUCAGCAUCAGUUUCGCUCCGCUGUACAAGGGCAACAGAAAUGUGGCACUCUUCGGAGUGUGUUAUAGUCUUUUGUCAUAUCCAGCGCUCGGGACUGAGGAACUCUGCACGAUCUACUUUUGUGCAUAGGUUGCUGGCAUAAUGGCCUUAAGCGACCCGUCUUGAAACACGGACCAAGGAGUCUAACAUGCCUGCGAGUGUUUGGGUGAUAAACUCGAGUGCGAAAUGAAAGUGAAAGUUGACACCUCUGUCAUGGAGGGCAUCGACGCCCGGACCAAAGUCUACUGACAAUGGAUCUGAGGUAGAGCAUGCAUGUUGGGACCCGAAAGAUGGUGAACUAUGCCUGAAUAGGGUGAAGCCAGAGGAAACUCUGGUGGAGGCUCGUAGCGAUUCUGACGUGCAAAUCGAUCGUCAAAUUUGGGUAUAGGGGCGAAAGACUAAUCGAACCAUCUAGUAGCUGGGU